GAUGAAGAACGUAGCGAAAUGCGAUAAGUAAUGUGAAUUGCAGAAUUCAGUGAAUCAUCGAAUCUUUGAACGCACAUUGCGCCCCCCAGUAUUCUGGCGGGCAUGCCUGUUCGAGCGUAAUUUCAACCAUCAAGCCCUGCUUGUGUUGGGGUCCUGCGGCUGCCCGCAGGCCCUGAAAACCAGUGGCGGGCUCGCUAGUCACACCGAGCGCAGUAGCACAUCUCGCUCAGGGCGUGCGGCGGGCUCCAGCCGUUAAAGCACCCACCUUUCGCAAGGUUGACCUCGGAUCAGGUAGGAAUACCCGCUGAACUUAAGCAUAUCAAUAAGCGGAGGA
Molecule: unclassified non-coding RNA, 334 nt
Filed under: soil metagenome
Description: partial contains 5.8S ribosomal RNA, internal transcribed spacer 2, and large subunit ribosomal RNA
Rfam family: 5.8S ribosomal RNA (bases 1-120)
Source: RNAcentral